AGUAACACGUGGGUAACCUGCCCGGAAGUGGGGAAUACCUCGGGGAAACUCGAGCUAAUGCCGCAUAACAUCUCCGGGACGAAAGUCCUGGCGAUCAAAGCGGGGUCGCAAGAUCUCGCGCUACCGGAUGGGCCCGCGCCCGAUUAGCUAGUUGGUGAGGUAAUGGCUCACCAAGGCAACGAUCGGUAGCCGGCCUGAGAGGGUGAUCGGCCACACCGGAACUGAGACACGGUCCGG
RNAcentral lists this ribosomal RNA (237 nucleotides) under uncultured bacterium. RNAcentral describes it as "partial 16S ribosomal RNA". It matches the Rfam family "Bacterial small subunit ribosomal RNA", at positions 109 to 334 of the family's 1533-position model. The record is from RNAcentral.